CUGAUGCAGCCAUGCCGCGUGUAUGAAGAAGGCCUUCGGGUUGUAAAGUACUUUCAGUCGUGAGGAAGGUAGUGUGUUUAAUAGAUGCAUUAUUUGACGUUAGCGACAGAAGAAGCACCGGCUAACUCCGUGCCAGCAGCCGCGGUAAU
RNAcentral lists this ribosomal RNA (149 nucleotides) under uncultured bacterium. RNAcentral's name for it is "partial 16S ribosomal RNA". It matches the Rfam family "Bacterial small subunit ribosomal RNA", at positions 383 to 524 of the family's 1533-position model. The record is from RNAcentral.